AAGCCACAGGAGUACAUUAUACUUUGGACUUGCUUUCCCUUGGAUAUGAAUAGAUGACAGCCAGCUCUCUAACCUGACACCAAAUAGACUCUGAUAGUUGAUGUGAUAAUUGUGUUUCCCCUUGCUCUACCUUUCUCUUUUUUUGCAUCUCAUUGUUGCUAGCCUUUAAAAGAUUUCGCCAUUUGUCCUUGAGAUUUACAGAUGUGCGAUGAGAAGAUGAAGAAAAC
Molecule: unclassified non-coding RNA, 227 nt
Filed under: Hevea brasiliensis (rubber tree)
Lineage: Eukaryota; Viridiplantae; Streptophyta; Magnoliopsida; Malpighiales; Euphorbiaceae
Source: RNAcentral